Pseudoliparis swirei is the source of this 3052-nucleotide long non-coding RNA. RefSeq lists it as uncharacterized. The transcript has 3 exons. Lineage: Eukaryota; Metazoa; Chordata; Actinopteri; Perciformes; Liparidae. The record is from RefSeq and is a predicted model, not a curated record.
CGGGAGUCACUUGACCGCCGAAGUCCUUUCAAAAUAAAAGCAGAAUUAGAAAUAUGUUAGUUAAGUGGGGGAUAUCGCUCGCGACGGAACAGAGUUUAUUGACGCACGUUUAGUGAAAGAGGAGGAUGUGCUGCGGCUUUAAAACAACAGAACAGCUCGGAGAAAUACAAUAAUCUGUCCGACAGGAACACAGUUAAUCUCCGGGGAAGAUUAACUGGCUCGUUUGACGCCACGGAGGGGAUUACUGCGUGUUCCUGCCUCCUUACCCACAGGGCAAUUCAAAAACCCAGUGCUCUGGCUGUGAAGGAAGCUGCAAAGAUCAGUGACAUGACCCGUGAAGAGGAGCCCACGCUCAGCAUCAUCACGACUCGAGAGUUGCUGCUAACGGCUCAGUUGCUGAUGCAUAGCAUCGAGGAACUGCUGGACCGGUCACCAGGCCCCUCCAACCAGAGACGGUGCAGAAUGAGGCCUGUAGAGGUGGGGGUGAAAAUCCUCAGACCAACCUGUUGUGAACCGCGUGACUAUGACCAUGAACACAACUAUUCCCUAGUUUCAUGUGUGAGUAUGAACAUGUCGUCAUGUGGCUCCAUGAGGCCGGUCCUCUGACGCUGCAGCAGAGCUCCAUUUGUCUUGUUCAUCUCCUCCUGUCUUUAGGACACAAUGAAGCAGGGAGCACUCCUGCUGCGGUCAGGCAGAGUAGUCCGGGUUCAUGCAUUCUACAGGGUUCGUACGGUCAUGACUAAUCUGGAAAAGUCAUGGAAUUUUAAAAUGGUAAUUUCCAGGCCUGGAAAAGUCAUGGAAAAUACUUAAAUCACAAACGUUUUGGAAAAGUCAUGGAAAUGUGUUUUAUUCACAUGUUCAUUUACGUCGAGUUUAAAAUAAUUCAUAUGUUUUUGAAAGGAAGACUCAAAUUAUAAGCCGGCAUACGCCAAAUCCAAACAGAUGGAUUUGCACAUAAAGGAUAAUAGUUUGAUUAAAAGAAUAAACAUUUAUAUAAGUUUUUCGAAGAAUAAACAUGUAUAGUAAUGUUUAUUCUUUUAAUCAAACUAUUGUCUCAUUCAUUUGUUUCAUUUAAGGUAUAUUGUAUGCUUUGUAAUUCUCAUUGUUUGAAUACUACAUUUUCCAAGUUUUCAUGUACACACCGAGAUUUCAGUUUGGUCAUGGAAAUUUGGUUUAAAGUCAUGGAAAAGUCCUGGAAUUCCAUUGGUCAACAUGUGUACGAACCCUGAUUCUCUACUGUUGCAUAGCAACACCAUCAAUUUCCCUCUCAGCCUCAGAUGCAAACUGAGUUUCUGUCAAAGUGGUUUCCAGCUGACGUGAAGGAGAAGCUGCUGAGCCGUUUGACCGUUUAAUCCUCGCCGUGCGCUCAGAGUCGAGCCGCUCGGCUUCUUCUUCACGCUUUCCCAUCAAAGUGAUCAAGGGCCCGACGGCGUCGAACACGAGAUCCUCCUGACCGCCUGAGUGAAGAACAGACGGGGCGACGCACCAGAGCUUCAGGAAGAGACGUCAGCCUGUGGCGUGACGAUGGAGGAGCUUCUAUCUCAGGCUGCUUCACAGCUCCAAAGCACCAUCGAGGUCUUCCGGAGGCUCGUCGCAGGGUACCGUUGGGUUCUGGCGGUGGCCCGGUUCUGUGACGUUCCCUCACCUCAACCCCGCCUUCAAGAGGUUCUGAUUGGCUCAGCAGCUUCUGCUUCAUUCCUGAAAGGCCUUAAGCCUCCCGAUUAGGGCUGCAACUAGCGAUUAUUUUGAUCAUCGAUUCAUCUGUUGAUUAUUUUUUCGAUGAAUCGAUUAAUCGGAUAAAAAAAUAAAACUAAUUUUCAAGCCUUUAUUCAAAACAGGGUUCAUACGGUCAUGGAAAACCUGGAAAAGUCAAGGAGUUUUUAAAUGGCUAUUUCUCGGCCUAGAAAAGCAAUUGAAAAAAAUAAAAUCCCACAAUUUUUGAACAAGUAAUGCAAUUUUUUAAUAUUCAAAUAUUAAUUUAAACGGAAUAUAUACGGUAUGCUUUGGAAUGAUCAUUGUUAGUUUAAAUACUACAUCUUCUCACUUUGGUCCUGGAGACCCACUGGUCAGCAUGUGGAUGAACCGUCACAAACAGACUGACAGCUUUACUCUCCUGAGUUUACUCAGCCGACUGUUGAUAGGUUCUCUUUCGAACAGGAGACACACACACACACACACACACCAUUCUCUCUAUUGCGCAUACAGGCGUUGUUUUAACUGAUGUGCAAAUGGUUCUUGUUUCCUGUGCUCAGGCACACCGGGCACCGCGUGACCCAGUGUGCAUGUUGUUGUUGUUGUUGUUGUGACAGCAGGAGUGUCAGGCCAGCCUCGAGGAGGAUGGAGAGACCGUGGUCAUAGAGGGCUUCAGGUUUGAGAGUGCGGUCAGCAGGGAGGACCUGAGGAGGCUGAGACCACCGGCUGGGGGAGGAAGAGGAAGAAGAAAAAGAAGAGGAGCAAGUCCAUGGGCUCGAGGACAACGUGUCAGAAGACCGAGAGCCAAGAAACGCUGACACGUCUUAAAGAGGACGUGAGCGGCUACCCGCCGCCGCGCCGCCCCUCCCAGCGGCGCCACGCCGGCUCCCCGUAGACGAACGCUCCGCGUGUUCCUGGACGGACGCUCGAGGACAUUCAGUUAUUUGUUCAUUGCUGCUUCAGGUAAAUCCUCCUCGAGGACAUCUUAGUGAGACGGUUUUCCCGUAACUCGACGUUCGCGCGUCUCUAAAUGCUGUUUGACGUCAGAGAACGUGAGACCGACGGGACGACGGCGUGAGGACGGAGAGGACUUAUUUAUUUAACGGCUCUCGUGGCGUGUGAUCCGAACGGUGGCUCAGCAUCCCGUACUAUUGUGUAUUUAUUUAAUCUGUUGUAUUUAACUACAUAUUUAUUUUUUAUACAUUUAACACACCUUGUAUACAGCCACUCUGCGUAGGCUGGCUGUGGUCAUGGCUUCCUGUUUGAUGACAGUCCUUCCUGUUUGGGGUGUCCUCCUGCACCUCUGGUGCUCUGGAUAUUGACUCUCAGCAUACUUUGCAAUAAAGACAUUCGACAGUUA